RNAcentral lists this ribosomal RNA (721 nucleotides) under Clostridioides difficile. Its description in RNAcentral is "bacterial LSU rRNA". It matches the Rfam family "Bacterial large subunit ribosomal RNA", at positions 131 to 856 of the family's 2925-position model. The record is from RNAcentral. Lineage: Bacteria; Bacillati; Bacillota; Clostridia; Peptostreptococcales; Peptostreptococcaceae.
CUUAGAGUAAUGUCUAAGUAUCAUUAAGUGAAUACAUAGCUUAAUGAGGGGAACUCAGGGAACUGAAACAUCUAAGUACCUGAAGGAAGAGAAAGAAAUUCGAUUCCGUAAGUAGCGGCGAGCGAACACGGAUUAGCCCAAACCAAUAAAGUUUUCUUUAUUGGGGUUGCGGACAUAUCAUAACGAAGAGGUAUCGUAAUUGAAGAGGUUUGGAAAGACCCACCACAGAAGGUAAUAGUCCUGUAUGUUAAACGAGAAGACUUCAGAUAUGAUCCAGAGUACCACGGGACACGUGAAACCCUGUGGGAAGCAGGAGGGACCACCCUCCAAGGCUAAAUACUACCUAGUGACCGAUAGCGUAUAGUACCGUGAGGGAAAGGUGAAAAGAACCCCGGGAGGGGAGUGAAAUAGAACCUGAAACCCUGCACUUACAAGCUGUGGAAGCACAUUUCUUGUGUGACCGCGUACUUUUUGUAGAACGGGCCAACGAGUUACGUUAAGUAGCAAGGUUAAGCACUUAAGGUGUGGAGCCGUAGCGAAAGCGAGUUUUAACUGAGCGUUCAGUUACUUGACGUAGACCCGAAACCGGGCGACCUACCCAUGAGCAGGAUGAAGCGAAAGUAAAAUUUCGUGGAGGUCCGAACCCACGAGCGUUGAAAAGCUCGGGGAUGACUUGUGGGUAGCGGUGAAAUUCCAAUCGAGCCCGGAGAUAGCUGGUUCU